RNAcentral lists this ribosomal RNA (253 nucleotides) under uncultured bacterium. RNAcentral describes it as "partial 16S ribosomal RNA". It matches the Rfam family "Bacterial small subunit ribosomal RNA", at positions 524 to 776 of the family's 1533-position model. The record is from RNAcentral.
UACGAAGGGGGCUAGCGUUGUUCGGAAUUACUGGUCGUAAAGGGCGCGUAGGCGGCCAUUCAAGUUAGGUGUGAAAGCCCUGGGCUCAACCUAGGAAUUGCACUUGAUACUGUUUGGCUUGAGUUCGGGAGAGGUGAGUGGAAUUCCCAGUGUAGAGGUGAAAUUCGUAGAUAUUGGGAAGAACACCAGUGGCGAAGGCGGCUCACUGGACCGACACUGACGCUGAGGCGCGAAAGCGUGGGGAGCAAACAGG